This is an RNA transcript of Canis lupus familiaris (dog), 3087 nucleotides long. It is a transcript of the gene named leucine rich repeat containing 31, with no coding region annotated. The transcript is spliced from 8 exons. NCBI's taxonomy places the organism in Eukaryota, Metazoa, Chordata, Mammalia, Carnivora, Canidae. The record is from RefSeq and is marked inferred.
CCCAGCCUUCUUUUCUUCCACAGAACUGUGUGGGGAGCUGGGGCCCACCUCCUUCACCUCCAUCCUCUGCUGCUUUUUUUAUGCACGGAUCUAAGACUAAGCACAGUGCUUUUUCUGGUGAUAGUACAUGCCAGGAAGGCAUAUCGGAACAGUUUCCUUAGAGCUACAUUGAGACACAUCUGUUCAAGUGAAUCAGUUACUGACUCAUGUAGCAGGGAUAAGAAAUUCAAAACCAUCAUAUGGAUUGAACCGCAUGAUCCCCUUGCCACUAAAAAUAUUAAUUAAGCUUUUCUUUUUAUCCUUCACCAUAACAUCUGUUAACUCACUUUUGGCAUCUUGUGAAACUUCUUGUGCAUGGAGAAUCAUAACAGUUUCUGUGGGUCAGGAAUCCAGGAGCAGCUGAGCGGGGGCCUCCAGUUCAGGGCCUCCACCAAGCUGUGCGUACAGCCAUUUCCAGGCUUGACUGGAGAGGAGCCACCUUCAAGUUCCCUCAUGUGGCUGUUGACAGGCCUCAGAAGAUUCAUUUCCACGUUGAGUCACUCAGGCCUCUCCUCAGGGCUGCCUGGAGACACAGAAGCCGGCUUCUUGAAGAGCGGGGAUUCCAAUGAGAGAGAAAGAGCAACCCCAGACAGAACCACAGACGUGACAUCCAUGGUGUUUUUCAUACCGUGCUCAUGAGAAGAGUCGGCCUCAACUUACAAGAGCCUGUGUGUGAGAGCCUUGUCUAUUAAAGAAGAACUUACAAACGUACUGCUUUCGUGCAAGCAACAUCGUAAAGGAGAAUCCAGUUGCUGCCAGCCCGUAAACACCCAUCGCACAGCGUAGCAGCAGUGCUCAUUCCAGGGCAGAGCUACUGUUUAUAGUUCUGCUCUCUGGAAAUGUGAUCAGAGUUCUGGUCGGGUUCAUGAGCGACACGGUUUCUCCCGGCCUGGCCCUGGUUGCGUGCCUACACCCCAUUAGCAGCUGUUACUCCUUUUACUUCUCACCACCGGCUCCUGCUAUGGAAGUUGGUCUAGUCUCCUUCCAAAGUCCUACUCUCUGGGCGAGAGGCGAGAAACUAUGCGUAGUCCAAUCGGCAGGUCUCAAGCCACCGCCGUCCCAACGUUCCUGAAGAGAUGCACAGCAGCGCCUUGUUAUGUGUUGUUUCCUUCAUCUGUCAGCCGCGACAUAACAGGGCCAAACCCUGACCAAAUGCAUGUGCUUCGUGCUCCACCUGGGGCCGCAAACCCAGGUUCUCUGGAUUGGAAGAAGAAACGCGCCUCAGAGCAGAAGCAGGUUGCAGCUGGUGGCCGUGCUGAUGACCCCAGUGCCUUCCCCCAGUCCAUCCAUGCAGGGAACGCCCGGAAGGGACACUGAGGCAAUCAGGGACCAGCCAGCCAGUCGAGAAGAGAAGUCACCUGCAAGUACCAGCAACUGCUGCUGGUAUGUCAGUUGUAGCAAGAAAGUUAAGAGGAGGAGGACCUCAGUAAGAAAAUCUUUAAGAGGAAGUAGAAACUUCUGAAUGGUUCAUCAUCUGAAGUCAUUCCUGUGAGUUAAGGAUUGCUGACCCUAGAAGAAUGUAAAUGCUUCCCAGGAAGUGGAACAUCGUGUUGCGAACAUUUUGUAUCCCACCAGAUAGACAGCCACGACGUGCUAGAGGUUGGGGGAUUUGAGCCAUGUGCUGUCAGCUGAACUCCUGAAAGGCUAGAACCUGAGUCUGCCUGCUGGAUGGGGCCCUGAUACACGCUCUGGACACCGAGGCUGGGGUGAGCUUCCUUGGUUGGCAAUACUCACUGCAAAUCGUUCACAUCAAUACCAAGAGAGUGACAAUGUCAUGCGUUCAUGGGGAGAGGACAAGAGCUCAGCAUUUCAUACUUGAUCUUGAGUUAAGUAUUGAACUGCCCCAGGUACUUCUUCCUUUACCUGAUUCCAGGCUGUAUCCUUCAGCUGUGUUACAGUCUAACCGAAGCAUAACAGCUUUCAAUGAGUUCUGUGAAUUCUUCUAGCAGCUUAUGUCGGAAGUGAGCGUAGUCGCUUCUGCAGACUGCUUGCUCCAACUUCUCAGUUGGCUAAACUCUUGCAGAUAUAAAGGCUGUCCUGCAAGACAGCACAGCUACUAGCUCAGCUUUACUGCCUGAGGGCUGUCCAUCCUGGCUUAUCCUACUAAAGUACAGGUUAGGAUAUUUCUCCCAACAUUUUGGUCAGGAAAAAUCACAUUAAAAUGAAGAUUAAGGGCAGUUGGGAGAAAACAGACACACACGCACAAGGAUGUCCAUUGAGCUUUUGGCUUUUGGCUCAGAGGAGGAGGUGAAGAUGCAACUAUGUCUGGCCAUCCAGUUUCUGGGUUCUUCUGACACCAGCCACCUCCACCAUGACACCUCAGUUCAACCCCAACAAGAUCAAAGUCAUAUAUCUGAGCUGCCCCCGUGGGAAAGCUGGUGCCGUGUCUGUCUUGGCUCCCAAGAUGGGUCCCCUGAGUCUGUCUCCCAAGAAGGUUGGUGACGACAUCACCAAGGCAACUGGUGAUUGGAAGGGUCUGAGGAUGACAGCGAAACUGACCGUUCAGAACAGACAGGCCCAGAUGGAAAUGGUACCUUCUCCCUCUGCCCUGAUGAGGAGAGCUCUCCAGGAACUGCCAAGAGACAGAAAGAAAAACAUUAAGCACAGUGGAAAUAUCACUUUGGAUGAGAUUGUCAACAUUGCCCCACAGAUGCAGUACUGAUCUUUAGCCAGAAGACUCUGGAACCAUUAAAAAGAUCCUGGGGACUGCUCGAUCUGUGGGCUGCCAGGUUGUUGGCGAAUAACAUCAACACUGGUGCAACAGAAUCCCCACUAGUUAAGAAUGCCCCCCCCCCAAAAAAGAUAUCCAUUGGAGUAUUUGUCAUAAGAAUGAAUAGAGAACCAAUUCUAUAAAUUAUGAUAUUCCACAGAGAGGAUACUAUUUUUAAAAUUAGACACAUAUGUACUCAUGUGAAAAGAUCUCCAAAAUAUUUUGUUAAAUUAUAAGACCAAGGUGCAAAGAAUUUGCUCUUUUUUUUAAACCUUAGUUAAUGAUUAACCCUGAGGCAAAAGGGUAAAUGCUUUAAUAAAGAAGUAAGUAAAGAAGUU